CCUUGUAUUUCAGCUAACUCCAUAUGGAAGACUUUGGCUCCUUUGCACUGCAAAGUUUUUGUGUGGCUGGUUGUCCGCAAGCGACUUUGGACUGCAGAUCGCUUAGCCAGGCAUGAUCUCCCCCGCAAUGAGAGUUGCAUCCUCCGUAACGCCGAUGAGGAGGAUGUUGAUCAUCUUUUGUUGGGCUGCUCCAUAUCCAACAUAAUUUGGUGCUCAACUAUGAACUGGAUCGGUCUUCCAAAUAUCUCUCCAGUUGUGGCUAACUCAUUUGUCAACUGGUGGACAACGGCUAGGAUGAAUGUUCCUUCAAGCGAGAUUAAGAAGUUGAAUAGUAUGAUCGUCUUAGUGACUUGGACAAUUUGGAAUGAGCGCAACAGUAGAGUAUUUGAUAACAAAGCUAGCUCCAUUGAUCGUAUCUUGGACAAAAUCAAAGGCGACGCACUCAACUGGUCUAAAGCGGGCGCUAAAUGCAUGAGGUCGUUGUUCUCCUAG
Molecule: ribosomal RNA, 492 nt
Filed under: Triticum aestivum (bread wheat)
Lineage: Eukaryota; Viridiplantae; Streptophyta; Magnoliopsida; Poales; Poaceae
Description: partial small subunit ribosomal RNA
Source: RNAcentral